This is a long non-coding RNA of Hemiscyllium ocellatum (epaulette shark), 494 nucleotides long. RefSeq lists it as uncharacterized. The transcript is spliced from 3 exons. The record is from RefSeq and is a predicted model, not a curated record. NCBI's taxonomy places the organism in Eukaryota, Metazoa, Chordata, Chondrichthyes, Orectolobiformes, Hemiscylliidae.
CAGGAAAUAAAACUGUUCCUGAUAAACAAUGGGAAUGUGUCUCAGGAUCAGGUCGAGGAUAAUGACCAGGAGAUCCGCCGCUGCCAUGGCCCCCAGGUAUCUGUGUUAGCUGUCUGGAUACAGGAUUGGCUGGCCAGCAGAAGACAGCGAGUGGUAGUGGAAGGAAAAUAUUCUGCCUGGAAGUCAGUGGGCCAUAUAAACAUAUCUUCAAAUUGACCGAGACCAUUUUCUGCUCAGGGUAUGGCUCUGUGUAUGACAGCAGCAAUGAUACACCGACAUGGAACAGGGAAUGUGAUGGAGACAUAGUUUGGAUAAUGUACAAGGAGACCUCACAUGGUCCAGUUUGGGAGAGGAUGACAUUAUUGUGUGAUUUAACUCAGAGAGGGAGAAAGUGUCAUCUGUCUGAGAAGAAACGGCCUAUUGCACUCUCUCUCCUUCAUUAUUCCUCAUCACAGUAACGUGUGCGAGCUAAAAUAAAACUCUACUGUCAUCAU